ACAAAGGUUUCUUUAGAAACCAAAAAAGGAGUAAAACAUGUAAUAG
This is a non-coding RNA of Struthio camelus australis, 46 nucleotides long. Lineage: Eukaryota; Metazoa; Chordata; Aves; Struthioniformes; Struthionidae. The record is from Rfam.